CCUACGGGCGGCAGCAGUGGGGAAUAUUGGACAAUAGGGGGAACCCUGAUCCAGCCAUGCCGCGUGUGUGAAGAAGGCCCUCGGGUUGUAAAGCACUUUCAGUGAGGAAGAACGCCUGGUGGUUAAUACCCAUCAGGAAAGACAUCACUCACAGAAGAAGCACCGGCUAACUCCGUGCCAGCAGCCGCGGUAAUACGGAGGGUGCGAGCGUUAAUCGGAAUUACUGGGCGUAAAGCGCGCGUAGGUGGCUUGAUAAGCCGGUUGUGAAAGCCCCGGGCUCAACCUGGGAACGGCAUCCGGAACUGUCAAGCUAGAGUGCAGGAGAGGAAGGUAGAAUUCCCGGUGUAGCGGUGAAAUGCGUAGAGAUCGGGAGGAAUACCAGUGGCGAAGGCGGCCUUCUGGACUGACACUGACACUGAGGUGCGAAAGCGUGGGUAGCAAACAGGAUUAGAUACCCUAGUAGUC
This 465-nucleotide ribosomal RNA is filed under the name Vreelandella stevensii. RNAcentral describes it as "partial 16S ribosomal RNA". It matches the Rfam family "Bacterial small subunit ribosomal RNA", at positions 338 to 795 of the family's 1533-position model. The record is from RNAcentral. Lineage: Bacteria; Pseudomonadati; Pseudomonadota; Gammaproteobacteria; Oceanospirillales; Halomonadaceae.